Molecule: long non-coding RNA, 423 nt
Organism: Carassius carassius (crucian carp)
Lineage: Eukaryota; Metazoa; Chordata; Actinopteri; Cypriniformes; Cyprinidae
Exons: 3
Source: RefSeq, a predicted model, not a curated record
AAAGUAAUCAGAGGUGUAGUGCGCCUUUGUUAUCUUCAAAUAAAAAACAACCUUAUUUAUCAUUUCAUAGUUUUUCCACCGACGAAAAUUUUAAGAAAGCGUUGAAAUUGGGCUAUACGGAGAGAGGAGGGGGCGACCUUUACUGUGAGGAAAGAUCUCGCACCACGAGCUGUGCCUUCCAGGUUUGCGUGGAAAAGUUGCGAAGACGUUAAAUCACGCGUCAAAACGGGAUGUUUGUGGUGCAGAGAAGUAAAUGUGGAGAUGGUGCAGGAGCACGAUUACAACAGCCGUCCUGUCCCAGGUGCUCUUGCUGUGGCAUGGGGGAAAAAAAGAGCUGGAAAAAACACCUGCUAGUGACAUCAGCAUCAUCUACACACCUGCUAGUGACGUCAUGCUCCUCCUCACCUGCUAGUGACAUCAGCA